RNAcentral lists this ribosomal RNA (530 nucleotides) under uncultured Sporidiobolus. Its description in RNAcentral is "eukaryotic LSU rRNA". It matches the Rfam family "Eukaryotic large subunit ribosomal RNA", at positions 110 to 655 of the family's 3401-position model. Lineage: Eukaryota; Fungi; Basidiomycota; Microbotryomycetes; Sporidiobolales. The record is from RNAcentral.
CAAAUUUGUAAUCUGGCGUCUUCGACGUCCGAGUUGUAAUCUCGAGAAGUGUUUUCCGUGAUAGACCGCAUACAAGUCUCUUGGAACAGAGCGUCAUAGUGGUGAGAACCCAGUACACGAUGCGGAUGCCUAUUACUUUGUGAUACACUUUCGAAGAGUCGAGUUGUUUGGGAAUGCAGCUCAAAUUGGGUGGUAAAUUCCAUCUAAAGCUAAAUAUUGGCGAGAGACCGAUAGCGAACAAGUACCGUGAGGGAAAGAUGAAAAGCACUUUGGAAAGAGAGUUAACAGUACGUGAAAUUGUUGGAAGGGAAACACAUGCAGUGAUACUUGCUAUUCGGGGCAACUCGAUUGGCAGGCCCGCAUCAGUUUUUCGGGGCGGAAAAUCGUAGAGAGAAGGUAGCAGUUUCGGCUGUGUUAUAGCUCUUUACUGGAUUCGCCCUGGGGGACUGAGGAACGCAGCGUGCUUUUAGCAUGAGCUUCGGCUUAUCCACGCUUAGGAUGCGGGUUUAUGGCUGUAUAUGACCCGUCUU